Long non-coding RNA from Manis javanica (Malayan pangolin), 3229 nucleotides. RefSeq lists it as uncharacterized. NCBI's taxonomy places the organism in Eukaryota, Metazoa, Chordata, Mammalia, Pholidota, Manidae. The record is from RefSeq and is a predicted model, not a curated record.
UGGCAAAACUCCCUUCUCCACUCUUUCCCCAACUGUGUGUACAAAGGAAAUGCAAAUACAUGUAAAUAUUAGCCUAAGCCACAGGCUUUUUGGAAGCUGUUGCGCUGCUUUAAAAAAAUCCUCUAAUGCAAGUGAAAGGACAGAGACUUUUCUGAGCCCGCUGCUCGGGCACCAAGAGCGCCAGCAAGAAGAAUUGGAGAAGCCAUGGUUCUCUGAAGAGACGGCCUUGCAUGGGGUGCAUCUGGGAUGAGAGGAGCAGAGGAACAGCUCCUGCCCUCUCCCCAGCAGGACUCGGCAUGAAGGCUGUCUGGCAUCCCCAGAUCUCCAGAGCCUGGCACCAUGACUGACACACAGAAGGGCAUUGUCUUGUCUGCAGAGGUCACCUGGAAAUACAAAAGCCGCCUUGUCGUCAGCCUGAGGGGGAUGGCAGAGCAGGAAGAUGCCCACUCAGAAGGAUGUCUUUGCAGAGGUUGAUUUGGAGUGGGAGAGAAGAGUGGAAAAAGAAAGAGGUGGGGCCAUCAAGAGAAAAGGGAAGCUCUGGAAUAGCCAUGAGAAAAUGGGAGCGCUGAUCAAAGGUGCAUAGCACUUCUGCCUGAAACAUUCCAGGGACAGAAAACUCACGGAUGAACGCUCCCAGAACUCAUUCUGUGCUGGACAGUGAUAAGUACCAAAUGUUCAUCUAGUGAUAUGUAGAGUCUACAAUUGCCUUACUAUCAAUUUUUUCCCAUUGGUUUUCUUUCCCCUUUGGGCCCUACGGCUAACCCACCCUCUGUCCCUGGCCUCCAGAACCUUCUGGAGAGUGCUCACAUUCUCUGUGCCCUGUGUGCCGGGGCUCCUUUCCAUCCCUCCCACACACCAAGCACCUGCUUCCUAGAGAGCUUCUGACUAGAGGCUUGUGUCCUGCUCUCUGUGUGAGACACCUGCACAAAGAGGUGCACAUGAGACUGUUCAGGGUCCAGCUCAAGUGCCACCUUUCUAGAGGAGGCUCCCAGACCACCAUAGCUACAAAAGCCCUCUUGGAAGGCCAACACUGAUGAUGUUAAAACAAAUCUGAUGGCAGAGCCUCUAUAAACCAAGUCAAAGGCCACACACACAAAAAAACUGUGAAAAAUAUUUCCACAUCACAUAUGACGGGGUUAAUUUCCCUAAAAUAGAAAGGAUUUCUGCAAUUUAAUAAGAAAAAGGCCAGUUGGGUUAUUGGUUUAAUAUGGAAAACAAAACAGGCAAAGGAUAUGAACAGUUCACCAAAGAAACAAUGCAAUAUUCUGUGCAAACAUAUGAAAAAGUACUCAAACUCAUGUAUGGUUAAAAAAAAGAGAGAAACAAUUUUUCAUCUAUCAUACUGGCAAAGAUAAAACAAUAAUAUUACUGUAUCAGCAAGGGUAUGGAAACAAGUCCCUUCAUAUCCUGCUGGUAAGAGUAUAAACUGGAACAAUUUUUAUAGAGGGUAAUUUGGUGAUAUUUAUCAUAAUUACAAGUGCACAAACCCUUUCACCCAGUGAUUUUUGCUUCUAGAAAUUUGUGCUAUAGAUAUGCUCCUGAGUGUGAGAAUUGAUACAUGUACAAAAGUACUCAUGGCAGUGUUGUGAACAGAAAGAGGCUGGAAACAAUAUAUGCGUCUAUCAGUAGGGGACUGGAUGGUAAGUUACAGUGCCCCCAUAUAAUAAAAUAGUAUGCAGUCAUUAGAACGAGGCAGAUCUAUUUGUGGUUCCAGAUUGCUUUGAGAGCAUUUUGUAUUGGCUUGCCCACAGUUUUUAUUUGCUCUUUUAUAUUUUUUUCUUAAAGAGGGCCCCUACAGUUGUAUAGCUUCAGGCCUCCCAAAACCUGGAUACAUUCCUGACCCUAACACCUGGGAGACAGACACAAUUCUUUCAUAACUGAGGCUCAUUCCCAUGGUGGGAAGAAGUGGAUUAUAUGGAGGGAAAUGGUGGGGAGGGGUGGGGAGCAGGGAUGGAUCAAAAUUGAGAGUUUGAAAAAGUUCCAUAGGUGAUUCUGAUAUGCUUCAUCCUUCAACCCCAAAAUCCCCAGUCCUGCACAGAUACCCUCCAGUCCCCAGCACCUUCUCCUUAAGACUCUAAACCUAGUCUCUCAGAUGAAGACUUAACCUCUGCAACUAAUGUCCAGUGGCUUUGUCCAUCUCACAGCAGCUCCUUCCUUUGUAGCCUAGUUCUCUGGGCCCUUGAGGUCCCCCAGAGAAGCUCAGACCGGCCAUCCUAACUGCAGAGUUGUUUUUGCUCCUUGGCUUCUCCAGCCCUUUGAUUUGAAACACAGCUACUACUCACCUCGUGUUUCACAAGAAGAUGGCAAGAGACGGAAGUCCCCACAUCACUCUCUAAGUCGGUCAGUCUUGGAGGGGUCAAUACUCAGAAGAAAGCAGAUGCAGAGGGACACAAGACAACCACCAGACAGGUGGCAGACUCCGAGCUCUCCAGUUAGAGAAAGGAGGCCCCGUACCUGUGGAUCCCACCAGUGAGAUGCAGGCCUGCUUUGGACGAAGUCUCGGCUCGUGAGCAGGGAAGCCCACACAGUUCAUUCCUUAGGGGACUCUCAAAGCUUCUGGGAGCUCAAUGAUAUAUUGAAGUUCUGGAGGUUCCUGGGAUGGCCUGAAGUUGGGCAGAAGUGCAUCAAAAGCCUCUCAAAUGUGAUGAUUUAAUUGGAUGGCAAAACUCAAAAGGCAUCUUUUUUUCUACUGAAAAGAACUGGACCCUGUGCAGAAGAAUACUUAGAGCCCUUUGAGGAGAGAAAUAAGCCUAUCUUGUUAUAGCUACAGAAGGGCUGAGCCUUCAGGAGACUUGCUACUUACUGUUCUGGGUAAGGCCAAGUCCUCGUAUCUCGCUGCAACACAGCCAAAAUUCCUGCAGCGUCUCCAUCAUGCCCAUUUCCCACAUGUUCUCUACACAGCUGCCAAACUCACCUUCUCACAAAGGAAAAAGAAAGCGUGCUCCCUCCACAGCUGAAAAUUCCCCAAUGGCUACUGACCUCAUUUCAUAAGAAAACAUUAAUUAAAUAAAACCCAGGGAUAGACAGACUUCUUCUUUAAUGGUUGAUGUAGUAAGAAUUUUAGGCUUUGCCCAAUAUGGUGUCUGUUGGGUGGGUGUAUUGCAGUGAUAAGCUGCACUAGGGUAAAGCAAAUGAGUUGCCUCAGGAAACAAAACAGUCACUCUCAGGGCCGUUGUGAGGGUGGAAGUAGACACAGACAAUACUCGAAGAAUGGGCAUGGCUAUGUUCC